This 730-nucleotide ribosomal RNA is filed under the name uncultured bacterium. Its description in RNAcentral is "bacterial SSU rRNA". It matches the Rfam family "Bacterial small subunit ribosomal RNA", at positions 771 to 1501 of the family's 1533-position model. The record is from RNAcentral.
AACAGGAUUAGAUACCCUGGUAGUCCACGCCGUAAACGAUGUCGACUUGGAGGUUGUGCCCUUGAGGCGUGGCUUCCGGAGCUAACGCGUUAAGUCGACCGCCUGGGGAGUACGGCCGCAAGGUUAAAACUCAAAUGAAUUGACGGGGGCCCGCACAAGCGGUGGAGCAUGUGGUUUAAUUCGAUGCAACGCGAAGAACCUUACCUGGCCUUGACAUCCAGAGAACUUAGCAGAGAUGCUUUGGUGCCUUCGGGAACUCUGAGACAGGUGCUGCAUGGCUGUCGUCAGCUCGUGUUGUGAAAUGUUGGGUUAAGUCCCGCAACGAGCGCAACCCUUAUCCUUUGUUGCCAGCGGUUCGGCCGGGAACUCAAAGGAGACUGCCAGUGAUAAACUGGAGGAAGGUGGGGAUGACGUCAAGUCAUCAUGGCCCUUACGAGUAGGGCUACACACGUGCUACAAUGGCGCAUACAAAGAGAAGCGACCUCGCGAGAGCAAGCGGACCUCAUAAAGUGCGUCGUAGUCCGGAUCGGAGUCUGCAACUCGACUCCGUGAAGUCGGAAUCGCUAGUAAUCGUAGAUCAGAAUGCUACGGUGAAUACGUUCCCGGGCCUUGUACACACCGCCCGUCACACCAUGGGAGUGGGUUGCAAAAGAAGUAGGUAGCUUAACCUUCGGGAGGGCGCUUACCACUUCGUGAUUCAUGACUGGGGUGAAGUCGUAACAAGGUAACC